This 81-nucleotide ribosomal RNA is filed under the name Acidaminococcus fermentans. Its description in RNAcentral is "16S rRNA. Bacterial SSU". Lineage: Bacteria; Bacillati; Bacillota; Negativicutes; Acidaminococcales; Acidaminococcaceae. The record is from RNAcentral.
CUGGCUCAGGACGAACGCUGGCGGCGUGCUUAACACAUGCAAGUCGAACGGAGAACUUUCUUCGGAAUGUUCUUAGUGGCG